UGGGGAAUCUUGCACAAUGGGCGAAAGCCUGAUGCAGCAACGCCGCGUGCGGGAAGACAGCCCUAGGGUUGUAAACCGCUUUCAGCAGGGAAGAAACUGACGGUACCUGCAGAAGAAGAUGCGGCCAACUACGUGCCAGCAGCCGCGGUGACACGUAGGCAUCAAGCGUUAUCCGGAUUUAUUGGGCGUAAAGAGCUCGUAGGCGGUUCGGUAAGUCGGGUGUGAAAACUCUGGGCUCAACCCAGAGAGGCCACUCGAUACUGCUGUGACUAGAGUGCGGUAGGGGGAGCGGGGGAAUUUCCUGGUGUAGCGGUGAAAUGCGCAGAUAUCAGGAGGAACACCAGUGGCGAAGGCGCCGCUCUGGGCCGUAACUGACGCUGAGGAGCGAAAGCAUGGGUAGCAAACAGGAUUAGAUACCCUGGUAGUCCAUGCCGUAAACGUUGGGCACUAGGUGUGGGUCUCAACCAACGAGAUCCGCGCCGUCGCUAACGCA
RNAcentral lists this ribosomal RNA (493 nucleotides) under uncultured bacterium. RNAcentral's name for it is "bacterial SSU rRNA". It matches the Rfam family "Bacterial small subunit ribosomal RNA", at positions 355 to 859 of the family's 1533-position model. The record is from RNAcentral.